CCACGGGCGGCAGCAGUGGGGAAUAUUGGACAAUGGGCGAAAGCCUGAUCCAGCCAUGCCGCGUGUGUGAAGAAGGCCUUCGGGUUGUAAAGCACUUUCAGUGGGGAAGAAAGCCUUGGGGCUAAUACCCUCGAGGAAGGACAUCACCCACAGAAGAAGCACCGGCUAACUCCGUGCCAGCAGCCGCGGUAAUACGGAGGGUGCGAGCGUUAAUCGGAAUUACUGGGCGUAAAGCGCGCGUAGGCGGUCUGAUAAGCCGGUUGUGAAAGCCCCGGGCUCAACCUGGGAACGGCAUCCGGAACUGUCAGGCUAGAGUGCAGGAGAGGAAGGUAGAAUUCCCGGUGUAGCGGUGAAAUGCGUAGAGAUCGGGAGGAAUACCAGUGGCGAAGGCGGCCUUCUGGACUGACACUGACGCUGAGGUGCGAAAGCGUGGGUAGCAAACAGGAUUAGAUACCCUUGUAGUC
This 464-nucleotide ribosomal RNA is filed under the name Vreelandella stevensii. RNAcentral describes it as "partial 16S ribosomal RNA". It matches the Rfam family "Bacterial small subunit ribosomal RNA", at positions 339 to 795 of the family's 1533-position model. The record is from RNAcentral. Lineage: Bacteria; Pseudomonadati; Pseudomonadota; Gammaproteobacteria; Oceanospirillales; Halomonadaceae.